GAUAAGAAAAAAGAAGCAAAAAUUAACAACCACUGAAACUAGGGCAAUCCCGCCUUUCUUUCUUACAACAAGCUGUACAGUCCUCCCAUUACUCCAUUUCUAGUCCAAUGAGUGAUUCGGUAUCAGUUCUUCCCCAUGAAAUCAUCGUACAAAUCCUCUUAAGGCUUCCCCCAAAAUCUCUGUUGGAAUUCAUGUGCGUUUCUAAAUCAUGGCAUCAACUAAUUUCAAGCCCUAAUUUUGUCAACACCCAUCUCAAGUUAACUGUUAAUCAUACUCAUAGGGUUAUAUUUUCAGGCAGAAACAGAAAUUUCAAGUCUUGUUCUGUUCCUCCUGUGUUUUACAAUGAACAACUGGUUGAGCUAUUUGAUGUGGAUUCUCCCGUUGAUAUCCCUUUUAUUUCUGCUUGGAUUGUGGGUUCUGCCAAUGGAUUGAUUUGUCUGUGCUAUCAGGAUGACAAAAAAUUUCUAUGGAACCCAACAAUUAGCAAGUCAAGGGAAUUACCUAAGUUAGAAGCUACGGGUUACUUUGAUUGUCGAAGGGGGUUUGGAUACGAUGAGUUACAUGACGAUUAUAAAGUUGUAUUUGUUCAUUUUUACUAUGUUGGUGGGAACAAUACGAGUCUGAGGACUGUGGUCAACAUUUACAGUUUGAGGAAUGAUUCUUGGAGAACACUCCAUGACCAGCUUCAGGAUACCUUUCUGAUAAAUUCUUUGGGUAAAUUUGUCAAUGGGAAGCUUUAUUGGAAUUCGACUAUUGGCACUGGGAAUGGUGGUCGCAAUUUGUGCAUCACUUCUCUUGAUUUGGCCGAUGAGACAUGGGGAACGUUGGAGCUUCCCAAUUGUGGAAAAGUCGGUCCUAAUUACAUGAUGGGAGUUGUUGGAAGUGAUCUUUCUCUGAUUUGUGAUUGUCAUCUAGAUAGUACUACCUCUGAUCUGUGGAUUAUGAAGCAUUGCGGAGUUAAUGUAUCUUGGACAAAAUUGUUCACCAUCAAUUGUGCCCGAUAUGCUUGGCUAUAUAUGCCUUGUCCACCCACUACAACAUUCUCCAUACAAUUUCCCCAGCAAAAUAAUGGUGAACUUUUUCUUUUUCUUCGAUCAGCCAUCAUGAUAUAUGAUUGUUCAACCAGACAACUGAAGCGCACUGUUGCUGUUGAGGGAUACAACGCUACAGAAAUCUAUGUAGAAAGCCUUGUUAAUCCCCUAACGAUAUCUGGCUAGGGACGUCAUAUCCAUGAAACCUCACAAUCAUUUAGCCGAUAACUUGUAAGAUUUCUGCUUACUUUAGCUGGAAGCGGAAGAUAAUGUUGAACACUAAUCCGUACCUGCUGUCUGCUGAGUGCAUGGAUCUAAACUAUGAAGCCUCGACAUAUCUGUUUGCUGAUGUUGAACAAUGUUCUCUUUUGCUUGAUCCACGGUAUCUGUUAGUAUCAGACUUGUAGUUCUACUUUUGUACACAAAUUCUGUUUUGCUUGCUCCAUGAAUUAACGCCAUGGUUUCUGUCAAAUUUGUUAAUUUUUAUGCCCCUGUGGUUUCUGAUGACCCCCCACCCCCCCUGCUCCGCUAACUCCCAUAUUACCACGAGAACAUCCAUCAGUAUUGAUCUUACGAUUGGAUCGACCUCUUAAAGGUGCAUUAUGAAAUUAGUUAAAGCCAUGAUUGAGUCUCACAGCAUGAGAGGAUUUUGUAUAAAUAUCUGACAGAGUUCAAAAGUGUUCAUUUUUGAGAAUAGUUCAAAAGAAAUCAGAACAAAAUAUUGGUCAAUUUUAGUAUUAAAAUCAGAGAGUAUAAUUAAUAUUCAUACUAAAUACAGUAUAAAAAAACAAAAGUUAUUGUCAAACUUCAUUAAUUCGCACAAAGAAAAUAUGUGUAACAAAUUACUUGUCAUGUAUUUUUUUUAAUGUCAAAGACACUUCUGCUCUGCUUCAACAAUUCACUGCUCUGUUUCACUUCACAGAAAAACAUCCGACCAUGUUUUCGUUUCUUUCUUUUCGCGAUUGGAUUCAUCAGGUGAUUCACACCGUUCUGAUCAAAUUCAUUUCAGGGUAUGAUUUCGUUUUCACUCCAUUUUCUACAACAACUGAAAUCAUAAUCCCGAAUGAAAUCCUUACAGACAUUCUCUUAAGGCUGCCUCUGAAGUCUCUCUUGAAAUGUAAGUCCGUUUCUAAAUCGUGGCAUCAACUAAUCUCUAGCCCUGAUUUCGUGAAGACACAUCUCAAAUUAAAAACAGAUCAACUAGUACUGUUUCCAGGUAUCAAUGGAAAAUACAAGUUUUGUUCUCUCACUCCCCUCUUUAACAAACAACAUAUCGCUGAGGAGCUACUUCUCAUCGAUUCUCCCAAUUUAAAAGUUUUCUUUGUCGGUUCUGUUAAUGGGUUGAUUUGUCUGUGCAAUUAUGCGAGGGAGACAUAUAUAUGGAAUCCCACCAUUAAAAAGUCAAAGAAAGUACUUUAUCCCAAAUUGGGCAACUCUUUCUAUAACAAAUAUGGUUUUGGAUACGAUGAGUCUAGUGACGAUUAUAAAGCUGCAUUUGUGGAUUAUUAUCGUAAUUCUUACAAUGAUGAUGUGUCCAAAAUGAAGACUGUGAUCAGCAUUUACAGUUUGAGGACUGAUUCUUGGACAAUACUCCAUGACGAGCUUCAGGGCGUCUUUCUACUAAAUCAUUCGGGUAAAUUUGUUAACGGGAAGAUUUAUUGGGCUGCAUCUACUCGUAUUGGUAAUUACGAUGUGUACAACAUCAUUUCUUUUGAUGUAGCAGAAGAGACAUGGGGAAGAUUGGAACUUCCCAGUUGUGGAGAAGUUAAUUCUAAAUUCAAAUUCAAACUCGGAGUUGUGGGAAGUGACCUUUCUGUGAUGUAUACAUGUUAUCUAGGUACUGCGACUUCUGAUGUCUGGAUUUGGAAAGAUUGCAGUGUAUCAUGGAUGAAACUGUUCACCAUCGAAUAUCCUCAAAAUACUGUGCUAGUUAUGUUUUCUGCACUCAUUUUCACAUUUUCUAUACACCUUAGCCAGUCAGAAAAGGGUGACAUUUUACUUUCGCUCCCAGGAUUAAUCAUGAUAUUUGAUGGUUCAACUAAAAGACUAGAGCACACUGCUGAUGUUGAGGGAUGCAAUCCAGCAGAAACCUACGCAGAAAGCAUUGUUAAUCCCCUAAUGAUAUCCGGAAGUGGAAGCUAAUGUAGAACACUUGCCAACUGCAUGGAUAGAAGACUUAUUAUGAUCUGUUUUCUUUCUCCAUCGUGUCUGUUAUCUUUAGAAUCAAACUUUAAGUUCUAUCUUGUAUAAUGGAUAUCGCAGGUUCAUAUAACUGAUUUCGACUUGUGGAUUGUUCCCUA
Solanum tuberosum (potato) is the source of this 3331-nucleotide RNA transcript. It is a transcript of the gene named F-box/kelch-repeat protein At3g23880-like, with no coding region annotated. The record is from RefSeq and is a predicted model, not a curated record. The transcript is spliced from 3 exons. NCBI's taxonomy places the organism in Eukaryota, Viridiplantae, Streptophyta, Magnoliopsida, Solanales, Solanaceae.